UUGACAGCUCUGGAAAGCAAAGUCUUGGUUUAUUCACAGAGCAGGUACAGCAUGGGAAGCCACAAUCAAGCAUCUCCACAUUCCCCAGCCAACAUGCCUUAACUCUGACCUGGAGGGACAGCCUGCUUUGGGAUGAAAAAGUAAUCCAGGGUAGGUCUAUACUUACCUCCG
Molecule: small RNA, 171 nt
Filed under: Chrysemys picta bellii (western painted turtle)
Lineage: Eukaryota; Metazoa; Chordata; Testudines; Emydidae
Description: TUC338 (ENSCPBG00000009613.1)
Source: RNAcentral